This 69-nucleotide transfer RNA is filed under the name Conger oceanicus (American conger). RNAcentral describes it as "tRNA-Met". The record is from RNAcentral. Lineage: Eukaryota; Metazoa; Chordata; Actinopteri; Anguilliformes; Congridae.
AGUAAGAUCAGCUAAUUAAGCUAUCGGGCCCAUACCCCGGAAAUGACGGUUGAACCCCUUCCCUUACUA